This 404-nucleotide ribosomal RNA is filed under the name uncultured bacterium. Its description in RNAcentral is "bacterial SSU rRNA". It matches the Rfam family "Bacterial small subunit ribosomal RNA", at positions 28 to 424 of the family's 1533-position model. The record is from RNAcentral.
GAUGAACGCUAGCUACAGGCUUAACACAUGCAAGUCGAGGGGCAGCAUGGACAUAGCUUGCUAUGUUUGAUGGCGACCGGCGCACGGGUGCGUAACACGUAUCCAAUCUGCCCGUUACUCGGGGAUAGCCUUCUGAAAGGAAGAUUAAUACCCGAUGGCAUUCAUUGGCGCAUCGCUUAUGAAUUAAGAUUUAUCGGUAACGGAUGAGGAUGCGUACGAUUAGCUAGUUGGUGGGGUAACGGCCCACCAAGGCGAUGAUGCAUAGGGGUUCUGAGAGGAAGGUCCCCCANACUGGAACUGAGACACGGUCCAGACUCCUACGGGAGGCAGCAGUGAGGAAUAUUGGUCAAUGGUCGGAAGACUGAACCAGCCAAGUAGCGUGAAGGAUGAAGGUUCUAUGGAUU